Triticum aestivum (bread wheat) is the source of this 115-nucleotide non-coding RNA. The record is from Rfam. Lineage: Eukaryota; Viridiplantae; Streptophyta; Magnoliopsida; Poales; Poaceae.
GUAAUACUCCCUCCGUUCGGAAAUACUUGUCCGAGAAAUGAAUGUAUCUAAAUGUAUUUUAGUUCUAGAUACAUCCAUUUUGGCGACACGUAUUUCUGAACGAAGGGAGUAGGUG